RNAcentral lists this long non-coding RNA (221 nucleotides) under Bos taurus (domestic cattle). RNAcentral's name for it is "long non-coding RNA NONBTAT018479". Lineage: Eukaryota; Metazoa; Chordata; Mammalia; Artiodactyla; Bovidae. The record is from RNAcentral.
UUUGCAAAGAAAAUAUUUUAAACUAGUAAUUUAAUGUCUAUAAUCCUUAGUUUAUUUAUUUGCAAAGACAAAGAGUGGUAUAUGUAGAGUGAUGUAUCUAGCACCAUAGAAAUUUUAGAAGAACCUUGUGAUUAGCUAAGAAAAAAUGAUAUAAGUAAAAUUAAAGUGAAGAAAGUACAUAAAUUUGAUUAAGAUCCAUAAGUUGCCAAUCUUAAAUGUUG